GCGGCACGGGCGGGGCCCCCGCGCUCUCACCGCCCUGGGGUGUGGUUCCCGCCUACGGGCCGGGCGGGGCGGCGGGUUUAAGGCGCAGGCCUUCCCGACACGGCUCACUCGCGCCCUUGCCGCCGCCACCGCACCCCGCCAUGGAGCGGCCGUCGCUGCGCGCCCUGCUCCUCGGCGCCGCCGGGCUGCUGCCCCUGCUCCUGCCCCUCUCCUCUUCCUCCUCUUCGGACACCUGCGGCCCCUGCGAGCCGGCCGCCUGCCCGCCCCUGCCCCCGCUGGGCUGCCUGCUGGGCGAGACCCGCGACGCGUGCGGCUGCUGCCCGAUGUGCGCCCGCGGCGAGGGCGAGCCGUGCGGGGGCGGCGGCGCCGGCAGGGGGUACUGCGCGCCGGGCAUGGAGUGCGUGAAGAGCCGCAAGAGGCGGAAGGGUAAAGCCGGGGCAGCAGCCGGCGGUCCGGGGGUAAGCGGCGUGUGCGUGUGCAAGAGCCGCUACCCGGUGUGCGGCAGCGACGGCACCACCUACCCGAGCGGCUGCCAGCUGCGCGCCGCCAGCCAGAGGGCCGAGAGCCGCGGGGAGAAGGCCAUCACCCAGGUCAGCAAGGGCACCUGCGAGCAAGGUGGGCACGAGCGCUUCCCUCUCCAACCCUGCCCCGCUCGGCCCAGCGAAGGGCACAUCCGACGGGGCGUCCGCGGCGGCCUCGCCCCGCGCUGCUCACCGCGAUUCCCCCGCGGGCAUCCGAGGAGCCAGAUGGGAGGGAAAGAGUUGGCAGCCGCGGAAUGCCAGGAGCGGUGGGCGACGCCCCCCCCCCCUUCUCCUUUUUGGUGGUUUUGA
This is an RNA transcript of Nomascus leucogenys (northern white-cheeked gibbon), 830 nucleotides long. It is a transcript of the gene named insulin-like growth factor-binding protein 7 pseudogene, with no coding region annotated. The transcript has a single exon. Lineage: Eukaryota; Metazoa; Chordata; Mammalia; Primates; Hylobatidae. The record is from RefSeq and is a predicted model, not a curated record.